This 21-nucleotide microRNA is filed under the name Drosophila yakuba. RNAcentral's name for it is "dya-miR-310-5p". Its record names the gene dya-miR-310-5p. The record is from miRBase by way of RNAcentral. Lineage: Eukaryota; Metazoa; Arthropoda; Insecta; Diptera; Drosophilidae.
AGGACGGGUCGUGUGGCAGUG